Molecule: ribosomal RNA, 528 nt
Filed under: Staphylococcus cohnii
Lineage: Bacteria; Bacillati; Bacillota; Bacilli; Caryophanales; Staphylococcaceae
Description: bacterial SSU rRNA
Rfam family: Bacterial small subunit ribosomal RNA
Source: RNAcentral
AAACCGGGGCUAAUGCCGGAUAACAUUUAGAACCGCAUGGUUCUAAAGUGAAAGAUGGUUUUGCUAUCACUUAUAGAUGGACCCGCGCCGUAUUAGCUAGUUGGUAAGGUAACGGCUUACCAAGGCAACGAUACGUAGCCGACCUGAGAGGGUGAUCGGCCACACUGGAACUGAGACACGGUCCAGACUCCUACGGGAGGCAGCAGUAGGGAAUCUUCCGCAAUGGGCGAAAGCCUGACGGAGCAACGCCGCGUGAGUGAUGAAGGUCUUCGGAUCGUAAAACUCUGUUAUUAGGGAAGAACAAAUGUGUAAGUAACUGUGCACGUCUUGACGGUACCUAAUCAGAAAGCCACGGCUAACUACGUGCCAGCAGCCGCGGUAAUACGUAGGUGGCAAGCGUUAUCCGGAAUUAUUGGGCGUAAAGCGCGCGUAGGCGGUUUCUUAAGUCUGAUGUGAAAGCCCACGGCUCAACCGUGGAGGGUCAUUGGAAACUGGGAAACUUGAGUGCAGAAGAGGAAAGUGGAAUUC